Molecule: long non-coding RNA, 420 nt
Filed under: Marmota monax (woodchuck)
Lineage: Eukaryota; Metazoa; Chordata; Mammalia; Rodentia; Sciuridae
Source: RNAcentral
GAAAAUCUACUCUGGAGGACAACUUGGUGUUACAAAGGUGCUCAGUAGAUAGAGGGCUCAGAUCAUCUCCAGGGAGGAUGUUCAGUCCAGGGGCCUGUGCAAGAAUGGCCCAGGACCAAAUAGAAUGGGUGCAUCUCAGCAGAGCCCUUCUUCAGCAGCUAGGGCUGAAGAAUACCUAAGUCGGUGCUGUAGGAUGAAGCAUUCCCUGCCUCAGGUGAGGUGAAUUGAUUGGGAGCAUGCUCAGGGAAUCAGGGGGUGAUGGGGUGAUUCCAAGCAUGGUUUAAUCUCCCUUGAGAGCAGUUGGCAACAGUCCACUGGGGACACCAUUAGUGUUUGUCUUGGGUAAUUUUCUAGCCCCCGAAUAACCAAUGAUAGCCACGGCUAAAACAAGGAUGAAUCAUUUCCAAGAACAUAUUUCCC